UACAGAGGGGGCAAGCGUUGUUCGGAAUUACUGGGCGUAAAGGGCGCGUAGGCGGCCAACUAAGUCGGACGUGAAAUCCCCGGGCUCAACCCGGGAACUGCGUCCGAUACUGGAUGGCUUGAAUCCGGGAGAGGGAUGUGGAAUUCCAGGUGUAGCGGUGAAAUGCGUAGAUAUCUGGAGGAACACCGGUGGCGAAGGCGGCAUCCUGGACCGGUAUUGACGCUGAGGAGCGAAAGCGUGGGGAGCGAACAGG
Molecule: ribosomal RNA, 253 nt
Filed under: uncultured bacterium
Lineage: Bacteria
Description: partial 16S ribosomal RNA
Rfam family: Bacterial small subunit ribosomal RNA
Source: RNAcentral